Molecule: ribosomal RNA, 706 nt
Filed under: Bacillus sp. (in: firmicutes)
Lineage: Bacteria; Bacillati; Bacillota; Bacilli; Caryophanales; Bacillaceae
Description: bacterial SSU rRNA
Rfam family: Bacterial small subunit ribosomal RNA
Source: RNAcentral
UGCAAGUCGAGCGGACAGAAGGGAGCUUGCUCCCGGAUGUUAGCGGCGGACGGGUGAGUAACACGUGGGUAACCUGCCUGUAAGACUGGGAUAACUCCGGGAAACCGGAGCUAAUACCGGAUAGUUCCUUGAACCGCAUGGUUCAAGGAUGAAAGACGGUUUCGGCUGUCACUUACAGAUGGACCCGCGGCGCAUUAGCUAGUUGGUGAGGUAACGGCUCACCAAGGCGACGAUGCGUAGCCGACCUGAGAGGGUGAUCGGCCACACUGGGACUGAGACACGGCCCAGACUCCUACGGGAGGCAGCAGUAGGGAAUCUUCCGCAAUGGACGAAAGUCUGACGGAGCAACGCCGCGUGAGUGAUGAAGGUUUUCGGAUCGUAAAGCUCUGUUGUUAGGGAAGAACAAGUGCAAGAGUAACUGCUUGCACCUUGACGGUACCUAACCAGAAAGCCACGGCUAACUACGUGCCAGCAGCCGCGGUAAUACGUAGGUGGCAAGCGUUGUCCGGAAUUAUUGGGCGUAAAGGGCUCGCAGGCGGUUUCUUAAGUCUGAUGUGAAAGCCCCCGGCUCAACCGGGGAGGGUCAUUGGAAACUGGGAAACUUGAGUGCAGAAGAGGAGAGUGGAAUUCCACGUGUAGCGGUGAAAUGCGUAGAGAUGUGGAGGAACACCAGUGGCGAAGGACUCUCUGGUCUGUAACUGACGCU